Molecule: long non-coding RNA, 2523 nt
Organism: Helianthus annuus (common sunflower)
Lineage: Eukaryota; Viridiplantae; Streptophyta; Magnoliopsida; Asterales; Asteraceae
Exons: 7
Source: RefSeq, a predicted model, not a curated record
UCAGUGGCAGAGGACAUGUGCGAAUGUUACGACCACAAAAUUGGGACCGAUUAUUCUGGACUCUUCAGGGCUAUGUCACAUGUUAAUUAUAAUGUUCGAAUAGCUGCUGCUGACGCACUAGCUGCUUUAUUAGAUGAGUACCCAGAUACAUUAGAGGAAUCUUUAGCAACUUUAUUCUCUCUUUAUCGUGAUGGUGGUAUUGGUGAGGGAAACAUAGAUUCUGGUUGGAUGGAUGGGCAGACAAGGGACUGCAUUGGCUUUACAUGCUACCGCUAAUAUACUUAGAACCAAAUACCUUCCAGCUGUCAUGACAUUCUUAAUAUCCCGAGCGCUGGUAAAAUAUUUGUUUUUGAAGGAUUAGGGACUGUUUGGUUUGUGGGUAUGGGCUUAAUAGUACAGAAAGUUGUAUUACUAUUGAAAUGGUACAACUUUUGUAAAUUAUUUUUUCGCAAGAAAGGCAACUAGAGUUGUGCCAGUUUUUCAGUUUUCAUUGCUACCCAACCCGCUAAAUCCACCCGUUUUGGUAGUUUUAUUAUUAAAUCAAGCAAAUGUAUGGCCACUUGUAGGUCGUAGUUUUCAUAUAGCUUGAUCAAAUAUCAUUAAGUAGCUUUGACUAGAUGCUUAUUUAUAUUCAACUGACAUGAUUUUACUUUGCUGUUUUUGGCGUAUUGGUGUAUUGGUGGCGUAUUGGUGUAUUUGGCGAGCUAAGUAAUAACCUGAUCAUACAAAAGCCAACUGCUCUUCAACGGUAGAAUACAACAACAAGAGAGAAUGCGGUUGAGGAAGAGAACUUGAUAUUGAAAGAGAGAUUGUUUUUGAUGGAAAGGGAGUUUGACGAUUUGCGAAUGCGGUUGCAGUAUCUUGAAAGACAGAGCCGAGGCGGGGAAAGGCUUAACGAGGAGGUCGUGGAGAAUCAUUCUGAAAACGAAAGCGAGAGCAGGGGAUACAGUCGAUGGAUGGAGGAUAAUAUCGAGGUUAUGGAAGAAAACCAUGAACAAUCAGAGGACAAUAACAAUAAUAAUAGAUUCUUUGGUUGACCAUUAAUAUAAUGUGUUCUAUGUCAAACUUUCAUAAUUACAUUAGGACAAAUAUUAAUAGUAUAAAAUAUGAACCAAAUAAUUCCAGUUUUCAUAUUGGCUCUUUGCAGGUCUCAAAGCCUAUAAAUCAAGUGCUAUCAACUCUGGUUGAUCAAGAAUCUGGCCACCAAAUUGAGCAUGAUAAUUUAAAUCUUUAUGGUACUUAUAUUGUUGAAGAAUUCGAGGUUAGAAUUUUGGAACCAGAGAGUUCUGGUGGGCCAUGGCAAACAAAAGGAACUAUUCACAUACAAACUUCUGAGAAUGCGUUAACUGUCAGUGGUUACAUUAUCUAAUACAACAAAAAGAGAGAAUGAAACUCUGUUGGCAAUUGGGACUGCCUAUGUGCAAGGGGAAGAUGUAGCUGCAAGAGGACGUGUUCUUUUGUUCUCAGUUGAAAAUAGCACUGAGAAUUCACCGGCAAAGGUCACCGAGGUCUACUCAAAGGAAAUGAAAGGUGCCAUAUCAGCAUUAGCUUCUAUUCAAGGUUAUCUAUUAGUUGCUUCAGACCCAAAAGUUAUCCUACACAAGUGGACCGGUGCUGAGUUGAACGAUGUUGCUUUUUUCUAUGCCCCACCACUUUAUGUAGUCAACUUAAAUAUUUUGGAAAGCAAACGGAUCACAGUUGACUUUACUUGCUAAGGAUUUUGGCGUUCCUGGACUGCUUUGCAACAGAGUUUCUGAUUGACGGGAGCACUCUUAGCCUGAUGGUUUCCGAUGACCAAAAGAAUGUGCAGCGUUGGAAAGCUGGAAAGCACAGAAACUACUUUCACUGGUCGAGUUUCAUGUGGGGGCACAUGUGACUAAAUUUCUCCGGUUACAGAUGCUUCCAGCUUCUUCUGCUGGUUCUGAUAAAACAAACCAUUUCGCCCUUGUGUUUGGAACCCUAGAUGGCAGCAUUGGGUUUAGAGAGAAUGGGGUACAAUUCUUAAGUUGCAUUGGAUAAGAAGGCCACGUUCUACGGAAGAGGUAAUGGAAUUAGAUGGACUAAUGGCAGUUCUUGCUAAUAUUAGUGUUGGAACUGGACUUGAUAAGUGGGAGAAGGCAGAAUGACAUGGUAUUUAAUAGGAGACAAGUUACGCUAUCAAGUCUGAUGGAGGAGAUUAAAGUUCUUAGCUACUUGUCUAUUCAAAAUCGUAUGGGCUUACGUGGGAAUUAUGGUUCAGCUUUAAUAUAGAUUGUAUGGGUGUAUUAUUGUAGUCUAGAUAUAGCUGGCGGUUAUGUAAUGGGCUAACUGUUAGUUGUGUAAUGCUUUUGGCUUAAUUUAGUCACAUUAGUUAGUAGUAUACGUUCUAUUAAUAUCUGAUCAUGUUACCUUUUGCAGUGGCCUUUGGCGAUAAUGUGAUAUUGGUUUACAAAAAAAUUAGCCAUUUUAACUUUUAAACCUAUUAAUUGAAUUUUAACGCAGUUGAACAAGUGGUAUUGGUUUGGUUACUGAUGAAUAUUGAAU